Molecule: ribosomal RNA, 468 nt
Filed under: uncultured bacterium
Lineage: Bacteria
Description: partial 16S ribosomal RNA
Rfam family: Bacterial small subunit ribosomal RNA
Source: RNAcentral
GACGAACGCUGGCGGCGUGCUUAACACAUGCAAGUCGAACGGAAAGGCCCUGCUUUUGUGGGGUGCUCGAGUGGCGAACGGGUGAGUAACACGUGAGUAACCUGCCCUUGACUUUGGGAUAACUUCAGGAAACUGGGGCUAAUACCGGAUAGGAGCUCCUGCUGCAUGGUGGGGGUUGGAAAGUUUCGGCGGUUGGGGAUGGACUCGCGGCUUAUCAGCUUGUUGGUGGGGUAGUUGCCUACCAAGGCUUUGACGGGUAGCCGGCCUGAGAGGGUGACCGGCCACAUUGGGACUGAGAUACGGCCCAGACUCCUACGGGAGGCAGCAGUGGGGAAUAUUGCACAAUGGGCGGAAGCCUGAUGCAGCAACGCCGCGUGCGGGAUGACGGCCUUCGGGUUGUAAACCGCUUUCGCCUGUGACGAAGCGUGAGUGACGGUAAUGGGUAAAGAAGCACCGGCUAACUACGUG